This 468-nucleotide ribosomal RNA is filed under the name Triticum aestivum (bread wheat). Its description in RNAcentral is "partial small subunit ribosomal RNA". Lineage: Eukaryota; Viridiplantae; Streptophyta; Magnoliopsida; Poales; Poaceae. The record is from RNAcentral.
AUGAUGCCAACACCUGCGCGCGCCUCGGCAGCCACCGCACACGCCCUGCUACGCAGAACCAGAUGCUUUGCUGGGGUGAAUCGGAUCCGGCCAACCACGAGGACCUUCUCUGGAGCGCCGGCAGGGGCGGCUGACCCACAUGAUCACGCGGAGAAGGUUGGUGGUGUGAAAGUUGGAGAUGACGAGCUCGACGUUGCUAUGGUUGGUGGAGGCAUGGUGGGCUUGGCUGUUGCUUGUGCACUGUCCAAUAUGCCAUUGACCAAACAUCUGCGAGUUGCAGUCAUCGAUAGCAAUCCUGCAUUGAAGUCAAGGAAUUAUCUGAAAAAGAUGGUGUACCUGAUUCAAGGGUCAGCACUGUUACUCCUGCAACCAUUUCCUUCUUCAGAGAUAUUGGUGCAUGGAAGCAUAUUCUACAGCAAAGACAUGCAUUCUUUGGUAAAAUGCAGGUGUGGGAUUACACCGGACUAG